RNAcentral lists this ribosomal RNA (258 nucleotides) under uncultured prokaryote. Its description in RNAcentral is "partial 16S ribosomal RNA". It matches the Rfam family "Bacterial small subunit ribosomal RNA", at positions 526 to 782 of the family's 1533-position model. The record is from RNAcentral.
CGUAGGGUGCGAGCGUUGUCCGAAAUUACUGGGCGUAAAGAGCUCGUAGGUGGUUUGUCACGUCGUCUGUGAAAUUCCGGGGCUUAACCUCGGGCGUGCAGGCGAUACGGGCAAUACUUGAGUGCUGUAGGGGAGACUGGAAUUCCUGGUGUAGCGGUGAAAUGCGCAGAUAUCAGGAGGAACACCAAUGGCGAAGGCAGGUCUCUGGGCAGUUACUGACGCUGAGGAGCGAAAGCAUGGGUAGCGAACAGGAUUAGA